Molecule: long non-coding RNA, 5966 nt
Filed under: Drosophila guanche
Lineage: Eukaryota; Metazoa; Arthropoda; Insecta; Diptera; Drosophilidae
Source: RNAcentral
AUGCCCGGCAAACACAUUGUUGCCAAACUGCACAUCAAAUGUUCGGUUGCUCCUCGAGCAUGAGUAUAACAUUUUUCCAUAAAUUCUUCUCCCUUCUUUGGGGCACAUUUAAAGUUGAAAAUCGGAUUAUAAUAAUCCCCUGGUCAGCCCUAACGGUCAACAGGAUAUGGGAGAAGGAUGGUGAGAUGAAGAACUUUAACAAGUUGUAAUCUUUUAUGGCAGCAAAUUGUAUUUCUGCAUCAAGGCGAGCUAAGAGCCAAGAGCCAAGACCAGCACCAGGACCAUCUCGUAUGAAUAUGCGGAAUCCCAUUGUGGUUCCUCACAUGGCGCGCAUGGAAUGGCCUCUCGGCCGAAUGGAUAUUUGGUGUUUACUCCAUUAACUUUGCAGAACCUUGGCUUAAUUGCUUGGGCUUCAUUAAGGUCAGAACAAAACUAGCCGAAAACAGGAAAAACCAAAAAGGGAGAAUUGUGUAAAAACUUUUAACUUUUUAAUUUAUGCAUUGACAAACUUAAGCGACCAAAUGGGACUUGGACUGGAACUGGUACAGGGACGGAGACUGGUACUGGUACUGCUACCGGCACCAGGGCCAAGGCAGAAAGAGAAGGAUAGCAGGGCGGCGGGACAAACAAAGGAGCCAAGUCUGUUCCCAAUGCGAUAAGCCACAAAACUGCACUCUCAGACACUUCUGCGGCAGCACAGAAAGUUGACUGGGGCAGACUCCUCUCUCUUAUAAAAAGAGGGUAGCCGGCAAAAUAAAAAUAAACAAACAAAAUAGAAAACGUUCACUCGCCAUCCCUGCUAGUACUUUUUUAAUUGCAUCUUCAGCAAGCUACUGAGAGAAAGGAACUGAUUCUCAAACCGUUCCUUUGACCCGACUUGAAAAAAAGGGAAGCCUGCAGAAAUUUUCAACUGGCUCAGAGCUCGUUUCGGGAAGAGCUUAAGGUUUGGACUGACUUGUAAACAGGCUUAGGCGUCCUUUGAGCAAAAAGAAGGGCUGUUAAAAUGAUGGACUUGACUCAAGUAUUAUUCUUAAAUUGCUGAAAAGUAGGAGUUUAUUUUUGUAGAGUAUGGAAGCGCAUUCGAGAACAUCAAUUACAGCAAUUACAAAUUUAUCAAUUGAAUCUUAAGGCACUUAAUGUGAACACAAAAGUCUGUCAAACGUCACAGAACUAGUAAAAAGUCUGUGAUCCAUCAAAAAUCUACCAAUCAAAUUAGUUGCCGAAGACGAUUAGCAAACAUUCCGUUCCAAUAAAUAUGUCCGGUCAUUUGUCUCAACUGGCUUGACAUCUGCUGCUGUUGAUGUUCCGGCAUUUCACAGAUUGUUCAAAUACAAAAUAUCUACAAAGCAGCAACAGAACAAUGGGAUGAGCGAGCAGAUUCUUGCCUACCAAGAUAGAUGGCUCGGCAUUGAGAGCUAAAUCAAAAUAGGGUCUGCAAGAGGUGGAGAACUAUUAAACCGCUUUUAGCACUGAGAGCAAACAACGUGCACUCCACAUGCACAGACACAAAUACUCGUAGGCAGGCAAAUGGGAGGGUUGAGCCAAACUUGCGAAAAUUGGUAAACAAUUUAUGUGGUCAAAUAAAAUAGCACAGAAGUGGAGCUGGCUAGCGCAGGAGUAGCAGCAGCGGCAGCGGCAGCGGCAGCCAAAACAGGAACGGAAACAAAUUUAUGGCUGCUCAAACCAAUACCAGAAUACUGGCAAAAACUUCAGCCAGCUGAAAAAAUAAAAAAAUAAAAGAUACGUUUAUGCAAUUCGUGCAGCGUCGUAGUCAGAGGGGGGAUCCACACUCAGAUACCAAAUGGAAGCCAAAAACUUUAAAAGUGGGGCAGGUCUAUUUGUUGUUUAAUUGGGAAAUGUGUUGAGAGUAUUGGGAAAUGUAUCGCUAGGUAAACAGCGGUAUUAAAAAUACAUAAAUGCUACAAAUAUUAAUGGUAGAUACAAGUGUUUUCUGUCUCAGGGAUCCCCUAAAAUAUUUGAGCUUCUACGCCCUUUGCCACAUACAAUAGUUGAAUAGAUGCAGAUACCACACUCUGAGGAGGAGAAGGAUAUAAAUUACAUGCUUAGCUACUCAUAGUUCUCAGGCCCCAACCCCUCGACGCCCCUACUCGAACUCAAAAGUUUUCCCAUUUUUUCGCUUGCAUGGGAUUGUUGUUGUAGAGAUUAUGAAAUAAAUUUCCACAUGCCACACAAUUUCUGCAUCCACAGACCGAGCAACAAAUAUUCUAUGUACACAUAUACGAGCUCGUUUGAACAUAUAUCUAUGUGGGACCUCUCCGCCUGCCCUUUUCGCUGAAUGUUGCACUUGAGAUGUGCUCCGGCGACUGAAAGUAGGCAACGGGACCUAAAAUUACACACAAACGCUCGUCCUGCCACACACAUAUCCAUUGAAGAGAGAGCCGAUGGCCAUUGCAGCAACAACAACAGAAGAUUUGCAUAUGAAAAUAUUUUUCAAUCGCCCCACAGGUUUUUCCUGCGCAUGUGGUUAUGUGUAUUUGUUGAGGCGAAGUUUCCCUCGAUAUGAGUUUUUGUUGUGCCAGCAAAUGCAGGGAUGGGAAAGAGAAAAGUUGUACUUUCAGACUGGAGAAAAUUUGUAAAGUUUCUUCCGCUUUCAAUACAUAUAUUAUCAGAGAUAAGAGUUCGAACUAGAAGUGGAGUGUUAGCUGCGGAUGUGGAAAUAUGUACUCGAAUUUGUGGGAGCUAAGAUUUCUUCCUGAGAUGACAAGUUGUCGCAAAAAAUGAAGAAAAUGGGAAAAAUGGGUCUUUCCUGAAGCUCAUCGAAUAUAUUAGUUGAUUAUUUUAUUACUAAACCAGUACUUUUGGAAUAAGGAUAAAUGUUAUAUUUAAUACAGAAGCUAGUCCCUACUCACACAAAUUAAUUUAUAAAUUUAAAAUUAAGAAGUCUUAUUUUUAAAUUUUUAAUAAGCGUUAUUUUUAAUAUUCAUCCACAGCUGGAUUUUAGAAAUGUUUUAUCAAAUGAAGAUGGCACAGCCCAUAAAGAUCAAAAAUAAAUUCAAAACAAAUAGCUAUCAGUCCAGUGUGCAUGACAAGUGAUCGAAGUAAAGCUUGAAGCGGGAUCGAAAAAACAUGAGUGGAGAGUUCAAUAGUUGCAGCGACAGCUAAAAGUUUGCGAGUGAGAGAGAAAGAACAGUUAUUCAUGUGAGCGGAGAGAGGAGAGAAGAACAGUUGCAGCGACAGCUAAUCAGAGAGAGAGAUCUCUACUGCACCGAAAGUUUGUGAGUGAGAGAGAAGGAACAGUUAUUACGGUUGGGCGAUAGCGAGAGAGUGAGAGUUACAGGCAGCAAACGCUACGACAAAAGAGCGGUGAAAUGUGAGGGAGUACUUACGAAAAGCAACAACGCAAGCGCACGACCUACCGAUGCGGAAAUGAAUUCAUUGAACACAAUUAACAGGCAUGAGAACUCGCGGAUUAGGAUGGGUUCAAAUAUUAGCUAGAUCAGGGUUAACAAGUUUUUUUGAAGUAAAAGGUAAAAUGAAAGGAAACCAAAUUAAAUUAAACCUCCACCUUUUAGACUUUUAGCUGCUGCUAAGGAAAUAUUUGAGUUCGUGUGAACUAAUAUUUCUUAGUAAAUAUUGUUUUUUUGUUGUGAUUUUCUAGAUGCCUCAUUAAUGAAAUAAUGCCACAUGUAGAUUUUUCUUGGAUCUUCCAACCAAUGUAUGUAUCCUGAAGCUCAGUUUAUUAGUUGAUUAUGUUAUUAUUAAACGAGUUCUUUUGGAAUAAGAAUGAAUAUUAUAUGAAUUCCAGAAGCUCAUCCCUAAUGGUCUUUGUGCUAACUAAAUUAAUUAUAACCUGUCCUUAAGUCAAAAUCCACAAAGCAUUACAACUAUAAAUCAUAAUUUAGUAGCAAUUAGAUACCACAUGAGGUCAAAGUAAAUUGCCUGCGAAUGCCAAUGGAAUGACGAAUUGACAAAACGACGAAUCAUUUAUUUUAAUAUGUAUCUAAUUUGCAUGUGGCUUAUGGUUUUAAUAAAGUCUCCCAUAAAUAGCACUUCGAAUUGAAACCGAAUCCCAUUGGAAUAUACACACGCACAUUCUUGAAUAAUAAUACAAACACUCGAGGUAUUUCCAUAAUUAAGUUAAUAAAUGGCACAAGUCAGGUACUGGAAUAAAGCAUGCCUUGAUUUUGAAUGAAUAAAACACAUCCUGUCUUCUCCCAUCCCAUUCUGUUUGAAAUAUGUAAAUCCCCUUUGAACUAACCUCAAAUUAAUUAUGAUACCAAAUGGUUCAGGAAAACCAAACAAAAAAAGGAGUUUCGAAUAAUUUCCUAAAAAUAUACAUGUAUUCCACAACGACGCGACGAAAACUAAUUAACGCCCACUCCACAACACCUGGCUCAGCUUCUUGUUGGCAUUUUCACGGGAUUUUUCCUUAAGCCCCAUACACAAAAUCACUCUUUUUCAUAAACCACAGCAGACCCAACCCAAAAAAAAAAGGGGGAACCAGGAGCUACAAGAGAAAUGCCUUGCCUGGAGAAGAAUGCGACGCCGUUGCAGGUGGCAGUAAAAAAUUGUUUAAAUUUCCUCAGGUCUCUCGGUCUUGGGGUAAAGAGACCUGGAUGGCUGGUUCUGGCGCUCGUCCUGGGGCCGCGGGGUCACCCGCAACCGAGAUCGGGGCACAGCUCAUUAAACGCUGUCACAGGCUACCUCCUUUUGCCUGCUUGGUUUUUAAGCCUGUUGCCGUUGUUGUUUUAAGGAUAAUCCGCAAACGCUGCCGACGACUUAAUGCGCCCCUUGGCUGUGCUAAAUAGCUUUCAUUAUUUUACUUUAUUCUCACAUAAAGCGCACGAAAAACUUUUUUCGAAACCAUUUUUACGGCUCCCAGAGAGUGCAACUGAACAGAAACAGAGGAAAACAGAAGAAAACCAGAAGAAAACAGAAAACCCCUAAAGAUAAGGAGAAAGAGAGAAAUAAAUGUUCGUUCUACACUGGUUAAGAAAUUCUUUCUUUUUUUUUAUUUGCAAAGUCUUUCUGGGGCAGCUUUCUGUGUGGACAGUUUGCUUUAAGGCAACGCCAUUUCCCACUCGGCAGUAAUAAAUCAUUUCACAUAUCAAUCAGUCAAUCAAAUAAAUGUUUUUACUACCCCCAAUACCGAUGCCCUCCUCCAGCCAGUAUUGAUUGUCCUACUAAAUACAAUUUUGCCUAGUCAGGAAAAUAUGGGGAAGCAGGCAAGAGGAAGCGAGGAAAACUCUGCUAGGCAUUUGACAUAUUCCAUCAACAAAAAAAAAAGGAGGAAAGUCGAAGAAGCCGUCGAAGAAGCAAAACCUGCCCAAGACAUUGUUGCAUACUCGUGCUCGUAGUUUCCCAACAACUAUGCCAGAUGUGCCCAAUGAGUGGAGCCGGAGAUAUGGUAAAGGCACAGACUGAGUGAGGGGCACGUUGUGAUGCAAUUGACAAGUUUUGUUUGCUUUUCGGAUAACUUCGGGCACGCCCCUCUGUCUGUCUAUCUUUUGCUCUGUCUGGUUUGGAUGUGAAAGGUUACCCUGAAAUUGGCUGGGGAAUUUGAUGGAAAUUCUACAUUCCGCAUGGAUAUAUGUACAUAUGUACAUACACAUUAUUAUAUAUUAUUUUAUGGAGAAUCAUCACCCAAAAGCAUAUCAAGUGGAAAAUAAAAAUAUACUAGAUAUAUUUUACAGUCUUGGGGUUAUAUUUAAUGCCUUUUGGAACAUUAAAUUUGACAUGAACAUAUUAAAUUGUCUUUUUUUUGCAGUACAUUCUGACUAAAUAUUAAGUAAUUUUAAUCAUUUCAACAUGGACCGACGCUAUCCCAUAAAAAAUUGAAUGAUUCUUUCUAAUAGAGAACAAGUUCAAGGAACUUUAGCCGAUAACAUUUGAUAUGCCAAGUCGAAUCUGGAGGUAACUCAAGAAUAUAUUCCUACGAUAAAUAAUUGCAACAUUUCCAUCAAUAUAAUAUUUUAUACGCACGUAUCUUGUCAGUUAUUUUGGAC